This 270-nucleotide long non-coding RNA is filed under the name Lathyrus oleraceus (garden pea). RNAcentral describes it as "Pisum sativum (pea) long non-coding RNA (PSAT_LNC012055)". Lineage: Eukaryota; Viridiplantae; Streptophyta; Magnoliopsida; Fabales; Fabaceae. The record is from RNAcentral.
AAAAAUUGGGCCCAAUUUUGUAAUUAGAACGGGGCCUCCGAUAUAAUUGGGCCGGCCCUGAUUGUUUAAUAAACAGAAUUUUAGGUGAUUUGCAUUUGGGUGAUCCUUAGUGGAUAAUUUGUGGUUCGUGAAUGAAACUUAUUUUGGUAAUAUCCGUUGGGAUAACUUUGGUGUUUAUAAGUAUUAUUAUACAUAAUUUUGGUGUUUAUAAGUAUUAUUAUACAUAAUUUUGGUGAAUUAUGAUGUUUGUCCAUGAAAUGCAUAUUUCGU